RNAcentral lists this ribosomal RNA (490 nucleotides) under uncultured bacterium. RNAcentral describes it as "SSU rRNA". It matches the Rfam family "Bacterial small subunit ribosomal RNA", at positions 26 to 521 of the family's 1533-position model. The record is from RNAcentral.
AGGACGAACGCUGGCGGCGUGCCUAACACAUGCAAGUGGAGCGACGAACCAGGCUUCGGCCUGGGGCAGAGCCGCGAACGGGUGAGUAACACGUGGGUAACCUGCCCUGAUGAUUGGGACAACCCGAGGAAACUCGGGCUAAUACCGAAUGUGCCCUCCGGCCUCAAGGCCGCUGGGGAAAGGAAGCUUCGGCCUCCGCAUCGGGAUGGGCCCGCGGCCCAUUAGCUUGUUGGUGAGGUAACGGCUCACCAAGGCAACGAUGGGUAGCUGGUCUGAGAGGACGAUCAGCCACACUGGGACUGAGACACGGCCCAGACUCCUACGGGAGGCAGCAGUGGGGAAUCUUGCGCAAUGCGCGAAAGCGUGACGCAGCAACGCCGCGUGGGGGAAGACGGGCCUUCGGGUUGUAAACCCCUUUCAGCAGGGACGAAGCGAAAGUGACGGUACCUGCAGAAGAAGCGCCGGCUAACUACGUGCCAGCAGCCGCGGU